GAUCGCAUUACAAAUGCAGUGUAUAUCAAAAACGAUGGAGGAUACGUAGAAACUACAAACGAAUACGAAGAGAUCAACGAUAUUGCUGUACAACGAGAAUCCAACGGAUAUUUGAUCCCGCAUUCUUUAAUGCUUAAUAGUUAUAAUAUCAACGUAAAUGAUAA
Molecule: long non-coding RNA, 164 nt
Organism: Nicrophorus vespilloides
Lineage: Eukaryota; Metazoa; Arthropoda; Insecta; Coleoptera; Silphidae
Exons: 4
Source: RefSeq, a predicted model, not a curated record